RNAcentral lists this unclassified non-coding RNA (324 nucleotides) under soil metagenome. Its description in RNAcentral is "partial contains 5.8S ribosomal RNA, internal transcribed spacer 2, and large subunit ribosomal RNA". The stretch from base 1 to 120 matches the Rfam family "5.8S ribosomal RNA", at positions 35 to 154 of the family's 154-position model. The record is from RNAcentral.
GAUGAAGAACGCAGCGAAAUGCGAUAAGUAGUGUGAAUUGCAGAAUUCAGUGAAUCAUCGAAUCUUUGAACGCACAUUGCGCCCCUUGGUAUUCCAUGGGGCAUGCCUGUUCGAGCGUCAUUUGUACCUUCAAGCUUUGCUUGGUGUUGGGUGUUUGUCCUGAGGGACUCGCCUUAAAGUAAUUGGCAGCCAGUGUUUUGGUUUUGAAGCGCAGCACAAGUCGCGAUUCAAGGCUAUACGCCAGCUUCCACAAGCCUUUGUCACUUUUGACCUCGGAUCAGGUAGGGAUACCCGCUGAACUUAAGCAUAUCAAUAAGCGGAGGA